This 106-nucleotide small RNA is filed under the name Clostridium sp. CAG:964. Its description in RNAcentral is "Streptococcus sRNA SpF41". It matches the Rfam family "Streptococcus sRNA SpF41". The record is from Rfam by way of RNAcentral. Lineage: Bacteria; Bacillati; Bacillota; Clostridia; Eubacteriales; Clostridiaceae.
AGGUAGCGGGUCAUAGUAUAAGAGGAGUACGCUCAUUUUUGAGAGGUCUUUGGUGCAAAUCCGAGUGCCCGUUACAAGACAGUACAGCAAUGUGCUGUCUUUUCUU